CGCCUGCCACAUGUGUGAACAAAGCUCACUCAUAUCCGGGCGGGAUUUUGAUGCGCUGUACAAAGGAGGAAACAGUGCUGGGGUCCAGACCCAGGGGAACUGAGUCUUCACCCUCUACUUUUUCCACUGUGCCAGGCUGCCUUCCACUGAACGCGUGAAAAGUUUGGCCUGCAAGUCGGUGGAUGUGGCUGAAAGAAUACAUCCAUUAUUCUCAAAGGAGGCAAGGAAGGUGGCGUGAUGCAGACACGAAAACAUAUUCUUGGAAGAAAAUUAACGUGCCGGCUGAAUUAGUCGCUCUGUUGGUAUUCACUGAGCCAGAGAAAGAAAAAAACAAGGAAGCCAACAAUACAAACAAGGAAGCCAGCCAUAAGAAAGGCAAAGGUGACUUUACGAACCGGUCCUCCCCAUGCGUGUGUUAGUUCUGGAUUAUUAAAUCAAUAUAGAUUUUACACUGGCCCCCUGAAACGCCAACAAUGUGACAUUGAGAAGUCAUGCUUCAUGCUACCGACUGUGGAAGGAAGGAUACAACAUAACUCCAAGUCUGGCACCUUGGCAUCGUUGGAAAGUCAACAUCUGUCAUCCUUUGACGUUUGCUACCCAUCCAACAGAGAAACCAAUAAGAAGAAAUGCAUUUUAGCCAGGAAAGGAGUAAUAACCUGCCCAGCAAUGAAUGACUGACAAGCCCAUGGGAGAGAGGUGAAAACAGAAAGUUCAGCAGAGACUGACUUGGCCUCUGAGGAAGAUGGCAUUUGACAUAAUUGGGACAGCUAGAAGGCUGUGGCCCAGUGUAAGAGGUAUAAUCACCUUAAACAAACAGAUUGGUC
Molecule: long non-coding RNA, 824 nt
Filed under: Heterocephalus glaber (naked mole-rat)
Lineage: Eukaryota; Metazoa; Chordata; Mammalia; Rodentia; Bathyergidae
Description: lncRNA (ENSHGLG00000037209.1)
Source: RNAcentral